CUUGUUUGCACAGCCCCUCCCAAUGCCCCCUCUCCUCUAGAAAACUGUAGCUCUCCCUAUAGUCCUCCCAUUUUUUCCUCCAGAUUUGCCUGUGGUUUUGCUGUGGCAUAUGUGUCCCAAAUUACAAUUCUCUGCUAGUCCCAGAUAAACCCAUUUUUUUCCUGGAAAAAUAUCUGGUUUUAAGGUUAACAGUUAUUUGAUCACUGGUGGACCCACAAAAGACCCCAACCACUCCGGGUUGCGAGCAAACAGGUGCAGGUCCCACAGAGCCCACUGUGCUGCUUUCUCGCGGACCCUGAAGCGGAGGAACUGGACUGUACCUCUUAGAACCGUACCUGUUGGAAAUGUGCUAGCCCUUGGUCUGAUUUCUUCUGUAAAGAGGCUACUCCUGUAGAGACAAGUGUUUAUACAUUUUAUUCUGGUCUAGAGAAAACCACCAUGAAAUGGAUUCCAGACAUCAUGAAAAGAACAGCUUUAAAUCCAAAUGACAGCCCUGCCUUAGUUUAAAGCUAAGUUCUCUUUUCUGCUUAUUAUGGAUCUUUGAUAAGAAAUACAAUUGCUGAGAAGUCUGCUUUGCUUGCUGUUUGCUACGAGCAUUGUGAAACCUUUCCUGAAUGUAACCCGCUAUGUAAUAGAGUAAGUUGUGAAACUUCCUAAAUGUAGUCUGGUAGGUAAUAGAAUAAGUGAUUGUACAUGAACUAACCGGCAUUUCUCGCUUCUGUAAACCUGCUUGCCUAACAUAUUUUCCCCUUCCCCUUGGUUCCUCAGGUACUUGAGAAAGGGGAGAAAUGAGAGACCUGGGCAAACUGUUUGCCUAGUCAUCCUGGUCUGUGAAAAACAAACUUAGCUUCAAUCCGCUUGCUUAACCAGCUUGUUCCGCUUCUGUACAACUGCUUGGCGUAACCGCGAAGAAUCCCUAACUUCCCCAUAACUUGUUUGUACCUGUCUAUAAAAAGGCUAUAAGAACCUCACUCGGGGCCUCUUAGCGUCACCGGCAACAAGUGCGCGGAGGUCCAGGUUCGAACCUGCAAUAAACGACCCUUGCCGCUUGGCUUUG
This is a long non-coding RNA of Herpailurus yagouaroundi (jaguarundi), 1057 nucleotides long. RefSeq lists it as uncharacterized. The transcript has 2 exons. NCBI's taxonomy places the organism in Eukaryota, Metazoa, Chordata, Mammalia, Carnivora, Felidae. The record is from RefSeq and is a predicted model, not a curated record.